UCUUUGGAGAGUUACAAAAAACUAGAGUAGCUUAUUGAAGUAUUUUCAAUAGCCAAAUAGAACUCAUUGAAAAAGAAA
This 78-nucleotide non-coding RNA is filed under the name unclassified sequences. The record is from Rfam.